Non-coding RNA from Paramuricea clavata, 290 nucleotides. NCBI's taxonomy places the organism in Eukaryota, Metazoa, Cnidaria, Anthozoa, Malacalcyonacea, Plexauridae. The record is from the annotation of a GenBank genome assembly.
GGGUUUUCCAUGUAAAUGGUAAACAACCCUUCAGUGCCUUCCGGUCAGUCACUCUAAAUGGAAAGCGCAUAAUCCGAAUGGAAUUUUCUAUCCGAAAUUUCGCUUACCAUUAGCACAAUUUCAAAUCGGAUGGGUUUUCCAUGUAAAUGGUAAACAACCCUUCAGUGCCUUCCGGUCAGUCACUCUAAAUGGAAAGCGCAUAAUCCGAAUGGGAUUUUCUAUCCGAAAUUUCGCUUACCAUUAGCACAAUUUCAAACCGGAUGGGUUUUCCAUGUAAAUGGUAAACAACC